AAUGUUUUAUUCAACAUCUGAAAUUUAAUAGCUACCAACAUUUGAGUAGGAAAAUAUCACUAAGUUGGUCAAUGAAACAAAAUGUAGACUGUUCAUCUCGAAAAAGAGAUGAGAAAAAAGCCCAUCAAAUUCCUUUAUCUCACAUCAAAGCACUUUUGUAUUAUAAUAAAACAGUUGAUACACGUAAUUUAUAUCAGAGCAGUAAAAUGGUCAUUACUUUCCGAUAAUCUGCUGCUUCAGGAUUAUGGUUAAAUCAGUAGUUAUCAGAGUUGUAUGUCUUUAUAAUCUGAAAUUCUUCAGCCAUUUUUUGGAUGAUGAAGGUCACAUUUUGGAAAUGGUUUAGAAUUUUGUAUUUGUUGAUUUAACAUUUCUUAAAAGAACUAUAUUUUAAAAACUGAAGACACUUUCGUAUUUUAGUUCUUAAUAAUGGAAUUAAUACGUUCAUUUUAACUGUUAUGAGUUUGUUUUCAAACUCGUACUAAAGUGAGUUAUCUUACAGGAAAUUAGAAUAACGCAUCUAAAGAGACCUAAUCUAUAACUUUGUAAUUGUUUUUAAAGCAUAAAAGGAACAAAUAAUUUUCAACAUGUAUAUAAUACUUUCGCAUCUUAAAACUACAUAUGUGAAUGAAAAAAUACGUCUGCGGUAAUUUUCCAGAAAGGUGUUUUAUAAGUUAACACUGAACAUGGAAAUUACUGUCAAGCUGAUGUUGGGGAUUUAGCAGAGGAAAUAUGUAUAUAUAGUACCUUCGGAAAUUUUAAGAAUAGCCAAAUUAGCCAAAUAAGUAAUAUAAAGGCAAGUUUAUCUUUGUCCUUGAAAUGUGGAAAUUCUUUUAUCUGUUGAUGUUGGCUAAUUAUAUCAUUGAGAUAGGUGAUAAAGGUAAUAUUUUUAUUGCCUUUGUUUUAGCUUAAUUUUUCCUUUUCAGUCAUUUUGCAGUUUGAUCAAAUUUGUGUUUUAGUGUGCAAAAGAAAACUAAAUGUUAGACCUGUAACUAUAGUGUUUUUAAAGAUCUAAUAUAUAUAUAAAAAAUCAAAAUCUAUUUCAUCUUAACCUUUGACACAAAUGCCAAGGUUACGGUUUCCUGUAUGUAAAUGAUAACGAUAUUAGAUUAGCAUUCACAUGUGGUUGGUCACUGUCAUAAAAAUUGAGAAUUGGGCCUUUUGGACACAAAUGUAUGUAAAGUGUAAUGUAAUUUUAAGUACAAAUCAAUAAAUUUGUAAUGGCCUAUCAAAGGUGCAGUUUGACCCAUUAAAAUAAAAAGUGAAUGGUUGAAGGUUAGAAAUGUUAAAUGAUUUGGUUUUUAUGUUUUUUUACUCCAGUAUCAAGAAUUAAAAAAAUAUUUAAAUGAUACAGUAAUUUCUAAAUUAAUCCUCAAUAUAAUGGAUUGCAGCUUCUCUUUUAUCACCAACAAGAUAAACGAUUAUAGCAAGUCACAUUUUAAAAAGGUCUUACAUGUACUUGAACUUUAAUGCUGAUGCUGCUUAUAUUUAGUGUUUUGAUAUUUGCUGUAAAAUAUUGCUUGUAAAAUAGGCAGUAGUUACCAGAUUUCAUAUAAAAAGUAACUUUCUGGUUUACUGCUAUAUUCUGCUUAAGAACCAAAGUGAUACUUAAAUACUUGUUUUUAUUUUGGCAUUUUGAACUAAUUUUUGGAUCCUAAAAAUCAUUACUAGGUUGAACUGGUGAUAGGUUUUAUUGCAUUUGUUAUUAUGGUACUAUUUAAAAAAUUACCUGAAAUUCCACAGAAAGGAAAGCAGCCAUGUUCUGCCCAUAGUUAAUCACGAGAUUUUCACGAACUAUGGUAUGACACUUAGAGGCUAGAUUAUGCGAUAGAGGUAUGUAUGUUGAAUAUAAAUUUUCUUUCAAGUUGAAUUUACUGUUAUUCUUAGUUUUUUGAUUAUUUAAAAAUUUGGACUGUGGACAACCAAUUAAUUUACUUAUUUGCUCCGGGUUUUUUCUUUGUUGAGAGGCUUAAGGGGAAACAGACUAUGAGGACAUCUCCAUCUUCUUCAUUCAUGAGAGGUGUGUGUGAUAAGAGUGGAAAUCAGGAAAUCGGCAAUCAGGAAACCGAGCUUCUAAAUGUAGAUUAGCCCUGUAAUCUUGAUAUUUCACUGCAGACCUUGUCUUCUAAUCUAUAGAAAGUGUUUGGAGUUUCUAAUCUCUUAAAAUAUCUUUUAGCCUUUAAUUGUGUGAUAAAAAUAAUAGUAAGGAGUGUCUUACACAAACUGGAGAAUAGUUUUUGUAAUUUUGCAUAAUAAAUAUAUGUGCUGUUUCUGUGAAGAAAUGAUUUGAAUAACAUGACCCUUGGGUGAUAGUGUACCCGACUUUUUUGAUUGUAGGCAUUCCAAAAUAAUAAUCUAAAUGCAGAUGUUGGAAAAUUGAUCUUGAAAACCAGUUAAGGUGUGAAAUUGUAUUUAAACAAGUGAGAUUUAGAAUGCUGCAAUAAACAUUUGCUGGGUUAAAUAAAUAUACUUAAAAUUUAGGGUAUUCAAUGUAACACUUAUAACUGGCUAUCACAACUAUAAAUAAGGAUUUGUAGUUUACAUGCUUGACAUAAUCUAUUUAAUUUCCUUUCAAAAAUUUUUAUAUUUCAAAGACACAAGCUAUCUUCCCCUACUAGAUUGAGUGGCUCAGUACACACUUAAUUUUCACAUUUGGCUGUUAAUUUCUGAAUGUAGUUAACCAGUACAGUUCAAAUUUGAUGAUGUUCUGAAGCUUAUAAAUAAAAACUGUAGUACUUGAUUUUUUUCAUAACAUUCAAGUGGCAUAUUUCUUACAACAAUUAGGUAAAGUUUUGAUUUGUACAAUAUACAAAGUUAGAUAGUUUUGUGUUUUGGAAAACAAUCCUUUGCCUUUUGAAAUUAAGCUAUUUAUUUGAUAAGGAAUAUUUCCCAAAUAAGCAAUAUGCCCUUGAUGUGUACUAUAUCGUGAUCAUAAUCAUUUUAAUUUAGAUUAUCAAGGUAGUUUGCUUAACUUGAAUGGUUUCUGAAUUUUCUUACAAGUGGUAAUGACUUUAUUGCUACCUUAUUUUUGUGGAAGAUUUCAUAUAUUCAUUUCAAAAGUGCUGUCAGGUUUUAUUCUUAUAUGUAAGAAUUGCGUUAAGGACUUAAAAAGGUAACAAAGUCAAUAUUUUAAGAAAAGCCCAGAUGGGCUAAUAAAGAGAACAGUCUUUGCCUUUUAAUAUGUAAGUCAAAAUGUAUGUUACACUUAGAGCUUUAUAUUGAGAAUCUAUGAUACGGCAAAAUAUUAAAGAUAGGUAGGAAUAUGAGCAAAAGUACCUACUUUUGUAGUCUGCUGAAGCCAAACUUGGCUUCUCCCCACCAUUUUUAAAGGAAGGUGGAAUACUGCUUUCUCAAUUUUGGGAAAGGAGAUGAUAUGGCAGAUUACAUUGGUGUCAGUAAUUUUUGAAGUGGUGCAAAGUGAACUCCCAAGUGAAACCCACAGGCGACAGACUUGUACUGGUAGGUAGCUUUUUAAUCACAUUACCAGCCCAGUGUGAAGGAUUCCCUCAGACCUUUUUUUUCCACAAAUAAAAGUCAAUUCCACCAUUCUCUUAAGAGUUAAAUCAGUUUAGUUCACUUACUUGAUUUAAGACUUGUCUUUGUUCACAAUCUCUAUUCUUAUUAAGGUCAAAUUAAAUUUGGAAGCUUAAAAGUAAAUAAUCCUUUUUCUUAUAAAUUGCUUCAUUUGUUAACUUGCUAGGAGGAUAUUUUAGCAUCUUAACUCUUAGAGAUAAUUUUGAAGCAGGUCUUUCCUGCAUUUUUUGAUUAUGAUUAGUCAAAAUGACUAAACGGAUUAAGAUUUGGUAAUAUAAUCAAGAACUUGAUUUAUAAUUUGAAAAAUUGAAAUCUUAGUUAUGGAACAACAUUUGAAUAGGUUAGUUUUAACUUAAAUCCUAAACUAUUGUGCUUUCUAAAAAUCCUUAAAUUACUACACUUUAAUAUUGAACUUAGAGCUUCUAUGAUAGCUCUACAUAGUAUGGUUAUUAUACUUCAGAGCAGGAGUGACUGAAAAAAUACCUGUAGUCAGAGGGCAUUUGAAAUGUGAAAAACAUCAUUUUCCAUGUUUUGUUUAUGGGGCAUUUCAGUCUAAUUAGUGGAAAGUAUGGAUAUGGUAUUUUUGUUACUGUAUUUUAAAAAGGGUUAGAGUUAACUUGAGUAGGUCAAUACAGUUGGUGACAAAAGUCGUUUGAAAUUUUGUCUAAAGGUUUCUAUCACUUUAUCUUAAAAUAAUUUGAUUAAAUAUUGAACUAAUAAUAAUAAUAAUAGAGAAACAUGGACUUGUAGGUAGGUAAUGGAAGUUUUCCUUUACGAGUCUUGAAAGUAGAUUAGAUGAAAGAUCAGAAAAUAAUUCUCUACUGUUAAGAGGUGAUGUUGGACUCUGAAACAACUAGUUCUCUACCUUAAUUGCCCAUUAGAUCUAUAUAGGGAGGCCAGAUUUUAUCUGCUCUGUUGGGAGUUCUUAGGGGCUGAGACUUAUGAAUGGUUUUUGUAGUAACUUACUCUAUAGGUAAGUCUCCAAAUAGCCAGAUUGAAAAUCCUUGGGGCUAGAGGAGCACCUGGGUGGCUCAUUUGGUUGAGUGUCCAACUUCAGCUCAGGCCAUGAUCUUGUCGUUUGUGGGUUCAAGCCCCAUGUUGGGCUCCGUGCUGACAGCUCAGAGCCUGGAGUCUGCUUCAGGUUCUGUGUCUCCCCCUCUCUCUGUCCCUCCCCUGCUUGCACUCUGUCUCUCUCACUUUGAAAAAUAAAUACUAAAAUUAAGAAAUAAAAAUAAAAAAUCCUUGGGGUAAGAACUUCUGCUUGGACUGUGUUGUUCAUAAAUAAGUGUAUGUCUUGGUCUUCUGGUGGAUCGUCAUGUUGAAGUUUUCAAAUAAAGGCAUUUUAGUAGUCUAGUUUUAUCUUUUUCUGUGCAUAAAAUUAUAUUCUUUUUGUUUCUUGCAGAAAUGUGAAUCCUGAGACUGAAUUCUCUAAAGGGCCUGUACAACGUAAUAGAUGUUGGUGGAACCAUUUACACCCAGUCAGCUUGAAGAGUCUCAAAUGGACCCUACCACUGAGAAAACAAGAUGGCAGUCCACUAUGGGGAAUUGAGGAAAAUGGAUUAAUACAAGAGUGCUGUGAUAAUAUACAACCAAGACAGGGUUCUUUUAACAUGGAUUUCAUGAAAUGAAUGAAGACAUAGGUUUCUUACCCAGCACAAAUGGACUUUCUAAAGACUUUUUGUAUCAUUAAAACAAGCACAUUUUUGACAUUUGGAGAAGAAAGAUGGCACAUUAACACAAAUGAUAGUUUGUAUGCCUGGAACUUUUUGCAGUUUGAUUUGUAUGAGUAUGACCUUGUGAAAUGUUAACUUUAAUAAAAUUUCUAACACUUUAAAA
Prionailurus viverrinus (fishing cat) is the source of this 5367-nucleotide long non-coding RNA. RefSeq lists it as uncharacterized. Lineage: Eukaryota; Metazoa; Chordata; Mammalia; Carnivora; Felidae. The record is from RefSeq and is a predicted model, not a curated record. The transcript is spliced from 2 exons.